This 253-nucleotide ribosomal RNA is filed under the name uncultured bacterium. RNAcentral describes it as "partial 16S ribosomal RNA". It matches the Rfam family "Bacterial small subunit ribosomal RNA", at positions 524 to 776 of the family's 1533-position model. The record is from RNAcentral.
UACGGAGGGGGCGAGCGUUAUUCGGAAUUAUUGGGCGUAAAGGGCGCGUAGGCGGCUGUACAAGUCAAAGGUGAAAUCCCUCGGCUCAACUGAGGAACUGCCUUUGAAACUGUACGGCUUGAGGCCGGGAGGGGGUAGCGGAAUUCCCAGUGUAGCGGUGAAAUGCGUAGAUACUGGGAGGAACACCAGUGGCGAAGGCGGCUACCUGGACCGGUUCUGACGCUGAGGCGCGAAAGCGUAGGGAGCAAACAGG